Nelumbo nucifera (sacred lotus) is the source of this 2903-nucleotide long non-coding RNA. RefSeq lists it as uncharacterized. The record is from RefSeq and is a predicted model, not a curated record. NCBI's taxonomy places the organism in Eukaryota, Viridiplantae, Streptophyta, Magnoliopsida, Proteales, Nelumbonaceae.
ACUUUUCUCUCUCCUCUCCUUUUUCGCCUCCUCUCUCUUUUCGGUCUUCUCCUUCUCCCCCCCUCUUUUUUCACUCACCUCUCCCGAGGAGAAGCUUGUCGAGCAAGUCACCUUCCCUUCUCAAUUUCUCUCCACUCUCCCUUUUCCCUUUUCUAAUGCAUUCUCUCUCCCGCCAUGUCUUCUCCAGUUCUCCCUUCUCCUCCCUCCCUUUUUCUCUUUUGUAGACAUGGACAAAUUUGAAGUUUUGUUGGAGCGAGACUCAAAGUCUCUUGCAUUAAACCACUGUUUAUGAUAGUCUCUCUACACUCCAUAUAGCUACUGCAAGUGGUAAAGUCAGAGGUUAAUGGGGAAAGUUUUUCUUCGAUCUUGGAUCGAUCUGUUCACCCAAAUAUCUUGAAUCGUUAUUAAACAGGGAGGUUUGUUUGCUUUUGGUCCUGAAAUGUUUGAUCUUUUCUUUUGCUUUUAUUCCCCCCAACUGUUGAUUAUGGCGUAGAGGUACAGUUCAUUAGGAGUUUUCAUUUUCUCCUCCUUGCUAUGAUGGUUUUGGCUUUUGGUCAUGGUUAAGAUUUUGUUAUCUUUUCUAGGUCUUCUACUGCAUGAAUGGUUUUUUGGCUUUAGCAUUGAGUGGUAUUACUGUUAUGGGCCGAAUGGUUUCCUAGGUUUUUACUUUUGAUGCUUUUCAUUUUUUAAGUUUUUUUCUUACUUGUGCAUUUUUCCUUGUUGAUUUUUCGUUUCAGGUUUUUCUUUUGCUCAAUUGCCCUUACCUAUUCAGGUGUAACUUUGGAAAUUUUAUCAUUUGGCUCUUGGAAAUAGUAUUUUUUAGUCUUGUGUUACUAGAGGUUUAGAAUGAUUGAUUAUAUAUGUAGGUUUUAACUAUGUUAUAACCUUUCAAUUUUUCGAUUUAACUUUGAAUAAUGACUAAUUUAUUAAGAGUUUGGAUCUGCAUGCCAAGUGUAGUCAUUAGAUUGCAAAACCAUGAUACUGACAACGCCUGGUUUUCAAUUAUGGCAUCUUUCAUGGAAACUUUAAUUGCAGCUCCAUAACCCAUUGUUUCAGGUGCUUCUCCAGCCAAAGCCACAAGACGAGAAUGUGAAUGUGAACAUGGAUGGUGCACAAAAUGAUAUGGACAAAUCCUAUGUAUCUAUUGUCUACUGUACUGAACUCUUGUCGAUUUCUACAGUUGUUUUCUUUUUGGAUUUUUUUGUUUCCCAAAGGAGAGAGCAUUACACUAGGUUAUUAAUGUUGCGGUUCAACGGAGUCAAUUAGUAGCUCAGGUGUGGCAUUUCGCUAAAAUUUUGCAUUUGUUUUUUAUUAUUUUAUUAUUAUUAUUUUUUUUCUUGCUUGAAGGCAAAGUGUCUUGGAGGUAAUUAAUUGCUAGAGCUUGGUAGGUUUUAUCAAUUUAGUUUAGUGGCCUUAUAACAACCUCAAAAACGAUGAUGCAAUGCCUAAUUAGUAUGAAUUGCAAUGUUUCUAAACGGUUCUCUUGGCUAGCAUUGAUUCUUGGCCCUAAAGUUUGUAAGAAAAAUUAUUGCUUCCCAGCUACAACCAAUGAGUAACCGUGAAAGGUUGGUUUAAGUUGCAAGUUUGUGUGCACUUUUUCUUUUAUUUUCUUCUCUCUAAUCUCUUAUGUUCUUCUCAUUCUUGCAUCCUACUUGUCUUUUUUACUAGAUUAUAACCAUCUAAUAGUAUUUUAUUUAUGAGUUGCAAGUUUUUGUACACUUUUUCUUUGAUUUUAUUCUCUCUAAUUUGUUAUGUUCUUCUCAUUCUUGCAUCUUACUUCUUGUCUUUUUUACUAGAUAAUGACCUUUUUCUAAUAUGCACAUGAAAAAAUUAGGAUUUAUAGGUUUGUUACCUGAAUAUCACUGAGAAAAGUGGAUCCCAGGAUCUUCCAGGGGUGAGAUGCAAAAUUGAAUGGCUAAAAGUGUUGCCGCCUAAUUAAUGGUAAGGGUGCUUAAAAUUGUGCUUUAAAGAAAUGAACUUCUACAGAUUUAAAAAAAAAAUGUAUUGAAAGCUUACGUAAGAGGGAAAUUAACUUCUACUUAUUCUAUAAAUUUGCACUUGAUUCCAUGGGUGAGAUACACAACUAAAUGGCUAAAAAUGUGGAUCAUUUCUAUGGAAUUGUGCAAAACAGUUUUCAGAUUAUGAAGGAUUGGAUCAUUUUUAUGGAAUUAAUCACGACAAAUUUUAGUUUAGGAAGGAUUAUUUUAUUCAUUUUAGAUUAUGAAGUCAUAUUUACCUUUGGAGACCAACCGUGAAUCUUUUGUAGGGAUUAGAAUUUUAUUCUUUUUUGUUUGUACUAAACCAAAGCAAGUAUUUAUUUAUAUUCAAUGGAUACAAGAUUCAUUCAUGUUACCUAUUUUUCCUUUCCUUAAACAAAUGAGGAGUGGAUGCAUAGUGGAUUGAAGAAACACUAAAACAUGAUUAACAAGGUUGCAUUUCUUACAGGUAUUUUUCUUGUUCUUCUUCUACUACUGCUACUUUCAAACCCUGUUCCUUCCAUCUCUCUUUCUCUCUCUUUUAAUUUAAGGCAGCUAGGUUUUAUUUUCUAAUUCACCAUUUUCCAUUUCUUAAACUCACUGUAUGGACCAUUUUUAUGCAGGAGAGGCAGUGCCUGCUGGCACCAAAUAUUCUCAAGUGGAACCAUGACUGGUUUGGUUUUUAUUGAAGAUGGAAGAUGAUCAGUUGGGACAACCGCAAGUUUGAUUCUCUGUCCUGGCGUUUAAUCACAAAUAAUUAGUCAUGGUGUUGAGAGACGAAAUUGUCCAUUGAAGAGAAAUGUCUGCUAUACAAAGCGAUUCAAAUAGCUUACCUCAAGUGGAAGAUGUUAACUUGUUUAUGUAAAGAACACGUUUUUUUUUUCUUAUUUUGUAAGAAGCAUAUAGGUCGAAACUUUUCAACUUGGG